This 360-nucleotide ribosomal RNA is filed under the name Pseudomonas sp. BZ3. Its description in RNAcentral is "bacterial SSU rRNA". It matches the Rfam family "Bacterial small subunit ribosomal RNA", at positions 147 to 504 of the family's 1533-position model. Lineage: Bacteria; Pseudomonadati; Pseudomonadota; Gammaproteobacteria; Pseudomonadales; Pseudomonadaceae. The record is from RNAcentral.
CGUUUCGAAAGGAACCCUAAUCCCGCAUACGUCCUACGGGAGAAAGUGGGGGAUCUUCGGACCUCACGCUAUCAGAUGAGCCUAGGUCGGAUUAGCUAGUUGGCGAGGUAAAGGCUCACCAAGGCGACGAUCCGUAACUGGUCUGAGAGGAUGAUCAGUCACACUGGAACUGAGACACGGUCCAGACUCCUACGGGAGGCAGCAGUGGGGAAUAUUGGACAAUGGGCGAAAGCCUGAUCCAGCCAUGCCGCGUGUGUGAAGAAGGUCUUCGGAUUGUAAAGCACUUUAAGUUGGGAGGAAGGACAGUAAGUUAAUACCUUGCUGUUUAGACGUUACCGACAGAAUAAGCACCGCAACUCG